This 865-nucleotide ribosomal RNA is filed under the name Vibrio sp. RNAcentral describes it as "bacterial SSU rRNA". It matches the Rfam family "Bacterial small subunit ribosomal RNA", at positions 87 to 941 of the family's 1533-position model. The record is from RNAcentral. Lineage: Bacteria; Pseudomonadati; Pseudomonadota; Gammaproteobacteria; Vibrionales; Vibrionaceae.
GGCGGCGAGCGGCGGACGGGUGAGUAAUGCCUGGGAAUAUGCCUUGAUGUGGGGGAUAACUAUUGGAAACGAUAGCUAAUACCGCAUAAUCUCUUCGGAGCAAAGAGGGGGACCUUCGGGCCUCUCGCGUCAAGAUUAGCCCAGGUGGGAUUAGCUAGUUGGUGAGGUAAUGGCUCACCAAGGCAACGAUCCCUAGCUGGUCUGAGAGGAUGAUCAGCCACACUGGAACUGAGACACGGUCCAGACUCCUACGGGAGGCAGCAGUGGGGAAUAUUGCACAAUGGGCGCAAGCCUGAUGCAGCCAUGCCGCGUGUGUGAAGAAGGCCUUCGGGUUGUAAAGCACUUUCAGCAGUGACGAAGGGCGGGUUCGUUAAUAGCGUAUUCGUUUGACGUUAGCUGCAGAAGAAGCACCGGCUAACUCCGUGCCAGCAGCCGCGGUAAUACGGAGGGUGCGAGCGUUAAUCGGAAUUACUGGGCGUAAAGCGCAUGCAGGUGGAUGAUUAAGUCAGAUGUGAAAGCCCGGGGCUCAACCUCGGAACAGCAUUUGAAACUGGUCAUCUAGAGUACUGUAGAGGGGGGUAGAAUUUCAGGUGUAGCGGUGAAAUGCGUAGAGAUCUGAAGGAAUACCGGUGGCGAAGGCGGCCCCCUGGACAGAUACUGACACUCAGAUGCUAAAGCGUGGGGGAGCACACAGGAUUAGAUACCCUGGUAGUCCACGCCGUAAACGAUGUCUACUUGGAGGUUGUGGCCCUUGACCCGUGGCUUUCUGAGCUAACGCGUUAAAUAGACCGCCCGGGGGAGUACCGCUCCCAGGAUUAAAACUCAAAUGAAUUUGACCGCGGCCCGCACCAGCCGUUGCAGCAUG